AAGCGAAACCGCCUCGGGAAACCGGGGUGGUCUGCCGGGCGUGGUUGUCCGGUACUGACGAGCAGCCGAGG
This 71-nucleotide non-coding RNA is filed under the name Pseudomonas sp. HMWF031. The record is from RNAcentral. Lineage: Bacteria; Pseudomonadati; Pseudomonadota; Gammaproteobacteria; Pseudomonadales; Pseudomonadaceae.